AGAGAGACCCUCCUGUAGGUUUUAACUCCAACCCUGUUCCUGGAGAGAGACCCUCCUGUAGGUUUUAACUCCAACCCUGUUCCUGGAGAGAGACCCUCCUGUAGGUUUUAACUCCAACCCUGUUCCUGGAGAGAGACCCUCCUGUAGGUUUUAACUCCAACCCUGUUCCUGGAGAGAGACCCUCCUGUAGGUUUUAACUCCAACCCUGUUCCUGGAGAGAGACCCUCCUGUAGGUUUUAACUCCAACCCUGUUCCUGGAGAGAAACCCUCCUGUAGGUUUUAACUCCAACCCUGUUCCUGGAGAGAAACCCUCCUGUAGGUUUUAACUCCAACCCUGUUCCUGGAGAGAGACCCUCCUGUAGGUUUUAACUCCAACCCUGUUCCUGGAGAGAAACCCUCCUGUAGGUUUUAACUCCAACCCUGUUCCUGGAGAGAAACCCUCCUGUAGGUUUUAACUCCAACCCUGUUCCUGGAGAGAGACCCUCCUGUAGGUUUUAACUCCAACCCUGUUCCUGGAGAGAGACCCUCCUGUAGGUUUUAACUCCA
This is a long non-coding RNA of Oncorhynchus keta (chum salmon), 546 nucleotides long. RefSeq lists it as uncharacterized. The record is from RefSeq and is a predicted model, not a curated record. The transcript has 3 exons. NCBI's taxonomy places the organism in Eukaryota, Metazoa, Chordata, Actinopteri, Salmoniformes, Salmonidae.